This is a long non-coding RNA of Passer domesticus (house sparrow), 3544 nucleotides long. RefSeq lists it as uncharacterized. The record is from RefSeq and is a predicted model, not a curated record. The transcript is spliced from 2 exons. Lineage: Eukaryota; Metazoa; Chordata; Aves; Passeriformes; Passeridae.
AUUUUUGUCUGAGCUGCUCAGGGCAGGAACGCCUGUGCAAAGGGAAGAGUUAUGAGAAAAUGAAAAUGAAGGCUGUGAUAGCUCUGGAUCCCUCAUACCAACAAUGACAUAGAAAUACUAGAACUUCAGUAGUUCCUCUAUUCAGUAAAAUAAUGUGUAUAAAUAGGACCUUGUAGUAGUAUCAAUUGAUACUCUGAUCUUCAGACCUUUUUUAUUGCUGCAUACUUUGGAGCUAUCACUGUUCCAGCCAGUUGACAGAAAUGCUGAUAACCAGUUGGAGGAUGAUUCAUAAUUAUUAAAAGCUCAGAGGCAAUGGGAGGAAAGACAUCUCUGCCUUAACUCACAGGAAUAGUCACCUUUCACCUAUAUUUACUGACUAUUUUUCUGGAUCAAAACAACUGGGGCAAAAAUAGGGUUCUACCUUUCCACUGGUUUCAAAAGAUGUAAUUUCUAUGGAGAAUAGUUACAGAAUAGAUCUCAUGCUCAAACCAAGCAGUUUAAACAAAGUUAAUGGAAACAUCAGCUCAAAGCACUACAUAAAGACAUCACAAGUAAUUAAAAUUAAAUUUGGGUUGUUUUACAAAGUCAUAUAAAAAGAGAGAAAGGGCAAGAGAAAAGUCAGUCUUGGUUUAGAAAUAUUCAGUGAUUUAUCAUAAGGUCAUUGCAGUUCAAUGCUAGAACAAUGUCAGCUCCAAAAAAUCUAGACUGGAUAGGUAGAAACUAAGAGAAAAGAAACAGCCAGAAACCAAGUGUCACAUCACUGCUCACUCCCUCACCAGUGGGACUGGGAGAAAAUCAGAAGGGUAAAAAUUGGAGAACUCCUGGGUUGAGAUAAAGACAGUUUGCUAGGUAAAGCAAAUGCCACUCACAAAAGUAAAGCAAAACAAGAAGAUAAUGAAUCACUGCUUCCCAGGGGCAGGCAGGUGUUCAGCCAUGUCCAGGACAGCAAGGCUCCAUCAGAUGUAACAGUUACUUGGGAAGGCAAAUGCUGUCACUCCAAAUGUGCCCCCCUCCCUCUUUCUUCCCCCCACUUUUUUUUUACUGAGCAUGAUGUCUGGACUAUCCCUUUGGUCAGUUUGAGUCACCUGUCCUGGCUGUGUCUUCUCUCAGGCUCCCAUGCACCCCCAGCCUCCCUGCCAGCAUGAAAAGCAGAAAAGCAGAAAAGCUCUUGGCUCUGUGUAAGUCCUGUUCAGCAAUCAAAAAAAAAAAUCCAAAUCAUAGUCCCAUACCAGCCAUGGUGAAGGAAACUAACUCCAUCCUAGCCAAAACCAGCACUGUCCAAACUACUAAAUAAGGGCCAUUUAAGAGAAUAUUCAGCUAUGAGCAUUACUUAAGUGUCUAGCCACCUGCAUGCCUACUCCACAUUAACUGGUAAAGAAAACUUGAAAUAUUCAAGUAUCUGCAACAUGAUAUGGACUUUUUACUGUAGAAAAUGUUCCCAAGUCGAAAACAGGUUAGAAAUUACUUGGGUUCAUUGGGUUCAUUGUGUGAUAGAUUUUGAGCUGUCUAUUAAUCACACCCAUUCCAGUUCCUGUUACCCAGGUGCAAUGGAUCAUCAGUAAUACCUGAAGGGUCAGCUGAAGACCAAAGGUUAUGCCUCUGUGGAAUUUAUCAUUUCUCAUUGCAAAUAUCUCUGAAUUGGAGAAGUGGCAUGGAGUUCCCCUCUGCAGAUAAACAGGAGGUGCUUGUUUCCAGAAGAGUGAAUGGUCAGCAGCAAUAAAUCAACUUUAAAACACAACAGUCCAAACAGACUGGAGACAUCCUUGGCUCAAGAAUGUGGAGCUAUGUCCUGGCUCAGAUACAUUGUUGGAGGUGAAACAGUAGCUGUGGACAUCCUCUGCUCAGGGUACUGUGUCAGUGCUAUCCCCCGCCUUUGCUAUUUCCAGCCAGAUUUGCAGAAGCAACAGGAAAGUUAGCAAAGCAAGGCAAACAGUGCUGGGUUAUUUUUGUUACACUCCGUUUCCUUGCAGCUGGUCAAAGUGCUCAGUACCUUCCAAAUCUGACCAGAUAGAAAUGCAAGUGAAAACUGGACUUGAAGUGAGCACCAGACAAGCCUGGAGCAGUGUCUUGUGGUUGAUGCCCUUUGUCCUGCCCUGUUUCAUCAGCAAGAGUGAGCAGCCUUUUGUGCACACUCACACCAGAAGAUGUAAGUGCAAAGCCAGGAGGUCUCACCUAUUUUUAACGUCUCCCAAACCCCAGGGCAAGACCCAAGGAGGAUAUUGUGCAGGACAAUGGGGUCACACCAGCCAGGAAGCCUAAGGACAGUGGGGGCUGUAGCCCAGGCCCCACUGGGUGGCUGCAGAGCAGGAAGACCAAAGAGCUGCUGAGCUGAGCUGAGCUGAGCAUUCAGCCCCAGCCAGUCCUCAGGGGUCCUGGCGCUCUCCCUGCCAUGGUGUUCUGCCAUGUCUCUGCUGUUUACCUCCCUGCAGAGAGCUCCCAGGGCAGGGACAGCCCCUGCAAGCUCCACUGCUGCCAGGAGCAGGGAGAUGUCUCAUUUAAGGAGCUAUUACUGGUACCAGUAAGCACACUGUAGUGGCCUUUUCCUGCAUACUUACUCUGAAUCUGCUCAUGAAAAAUACCACCUAAACUGGGCUUGGGCCAUUAGCUUUACCUGGUGCUCUUACACUGGGAUUUGUUUCUUUUUAUUAGAUACAGUUUUCCAAAGGGACAGAUAAUUGCUGUUCCAUCUUGAAAUUAAAACAAAAAAACCAAGCAAAGUCACCAUCAACUUUCUUGUCAUGUGUAAUUUUCUUGCGUGAUUUACAAAUUGUUUCCUCUCUUUUCUCCUGAUGGGAAAUGUGGGAUAGGGACCCAACACAGCAUCUGGGAAGCUGUAGUCCCACGGCUGAGCUGGAUCAUCAGCUCAGGUGCCAGAGGAGCUGGAAUGAGAGACGGCUGCCCCCAUGUCAUCCAUCAUGGGAAAAAAUGCCCAAAGCAGUGUGUAUUUAAGGUUGCCAUCUCCCAGAUGGCCCUUUACUCAGAUCAUCCCAAUAUGUUGUUAGUUAUGGAGCAGGCCUUUGGGCUUAGGCUUGUUGUGAGAAACCAAAGGCGUGCUUACCAUUUUCUGUGAUAGCAGCAGAGCUUAAAUGAAUGAUUAUAAUAAUAACUGCAGAGUGUGUUUCUGAGGUUUUACUACAUGUAAACACAAUCAUAAGUGUAAUCAAUGUCAAUGACUUCCAUUUAAUUCUCAGACAAAGUUUGCUUUUAAAUACCACACCAGAUUUGACACGGUCAGUGAUAAAUGGAAUGCAAUUAGUUCUACUAUUUGCUUUGAUGAUAUGCUAAAUUAUUUCUUACAACAGACCAUUUAUUAUCCAAAGCUAAUGGUUAUACUCUUGCAUUUAACAAAUCUAAUGUAUAUUAAACCGUAGCAAACUGAUAAGUUUCAAAAUUAGAUACUAAAGGCUAGAAAAAAGUGAUUUCAUGAAUGAGUUUCAUUUAAUAAAACCUUGUCAAUGCUCAAGUAAUAAAACCUUAAAUUAGAAGAGUUUUGUAUAUAUUUCUCAUAAUUGCACAAAUUAAAAAAAAAUUAUGUUGCCUCUUA